AUUGAACGCUGGCGGCAUGCCUUACACAUGCAAGUCGAACGGCAGCGGGGGAGAAGCUUGCUUUUCCUGCCGGCGAGUGGCGAACGGGUGAGUAAUACAUCGGAACGUGCCCUGUAGUGGGGGAUAACUAGUCGAAAGAUUAGCUAAUACCGCAUACGACCUGAGGGUGAAAGUGGGGGACCGCAAGGCCUCAUGCUAUAGGAGCGGCCGAUGUCUGAUUAGCUAGUUGGUGGGGUAAAGGCCUACCAAGGCGACGAUCAGUAGCUGGUCUGAGAGGACGAUAAGCCACACUGGGACGGAGACACGGCCCAGACUCCUACGGGAGGCAGCAGUGGGGAAUUUUGGACAAUGGGCGAAAGCCUGAUCCAGCAAUGCCGCGUGUGUGAAGAAGGCCUUCGGGUUGUAAAGCACUUUUGUCCGGAAAGAAAUGGCUCUGGUUAAUACCUGGGGUCGAUGACGGUACCGGAAGAAUAAGGACCGGCUAGCUACGUGCCAGCCGCCGCGGUAA
This 508-nucleotide ribosomal RNA is filed under the name uncultured bacterium. Its description in RNAcentral is "partial 16S ribosomal RNA". It matches the Rfam family "Bacterial small subunit ribosomal RNA", at positions 30 to 523 of the family's 1533-position model. The record is from RNAcentral.